CCACUCUGAAGAAGGAGAAAAAAAUAAAAUAAUUUGAAUUUGUUAAACAUUUUUGGUCACACAUUUAUUUCACAGUUCUGGUGAUAUGAGUAUUAUUUUAUACUAAUAAAAAGAAACCGGCAUGAGUAGGUGUGCCAACUUUUGACUGGCUCUUUCCUGUAUUCAACUAUAUUUCUUUCAGUUCUGGGGUUUAGACUUAAAAAACUGUAACAACUGGAAAGAGGUGUGGAAGUGUUGUAGGUUGUGUGGGAUUGGAGGAGAAAACUGAUUAGCCUGCUUUAAUCCCGUCUGGGCCAGAUGGUGCACUAGGCUUACCUUCGGGCCUCUUUUGUCCCAGCUAUGCUUCAGGCAUCACAUCCUGCUCAGAGCACAAGACAGAUUGUUCUUUCACACUGAGGAAGAUCUAACGUAGAUUUUGGGGUGAAGCCUGCCGCCUUUGACCUGUUUUUGGGUGGCUGUAUAGCUGGAUACCUUGGAGUAGUUUAUUAUGCAAUCCAGAACUUUGCCAAUGUCUACACUAAACUGAAAGCAACUGUGAAAGCCAAGUACCAAUAAACUGGAGUAAAGCAGACAUUGCACCAGAGACAACACAAGCAAUUAAAUGCCCAAUUGGCGACUUUCAUUCUCAUUCUGCAAUCAAAAAUCCUUCUGGAACUUUACUGUAUGUUUACACUUCGGUCAUUAAAGGGAAAGAGACAAAAUUAGAUGACUUCCCAUGUAAAUAUGAUGUGUCGGGAAUAGAACGGAUCUCAAGUUUAAAAAGGAACCUGAUGCCAACUAAGAGUGAGCAGAUCUGUGGCCUGUUCAGUGUGCCACUUAUAUUGUUAAACAGUGUGCCAUCUUAAUCAUUGUUUCCGGCUAAAAUAUGAGUUCUCUAUUCAUACUAGUGCUUUCUCCAGUGAAAAAGGCAUCUCAUCUCAAUCAGGAGAGGAAUAUGCACAGAUUAAGCACUGUUUAGAAGCAAAAUCAGUUCUUAAACAAAUAUGUUGGUGGAUUUUAUCAUGAUUUAUGGGCUCAUGUUUUGACCAGAAGUGAGAGUUUACAAUUAAAACAAGUUAAUGAUAAAUUUGUUUCUUACAAAUUCACAUUAUUUCACUUCACAAGAUGUUAAUUGAUGGACUGCAGUCACGCAGAUUACUUGUGAAUUAUUGUGAUGUAUUUAUCAGUUGUUUGGACUCUCAUUUUGACAGCAGCCAUAGGUUAUUUCUCUAUGUGAGUGAUUAUUAAAAAAGUAGAACUUGACAGAAACCGUUCUUGAGACCCAUUUCCUGUUAUUAUGUAUGUAUGGAAUGUUUUUCCCUGUGGAACUUUCUGAGUAACCGCAAUGCUGUUCUGUGCAUAAUAGGUCGCUGAUGGAAUAUUUGUUGGUACAGCUACAGAGGAUAUUUUGUGUGGCUGACACUGACUGUGUAUAAGUGCCUAAUGCUCAGUUAAAUGACUCUCUUGAUUAUCUCUUAUGAAUGAAGAACUCCUUUCAUUCACACAGGAUUAGUCAUUCAUUACUGUCAUCCAAAAUAUCAUAUCUAGAAUGACAUUAGUAAAUUCCCCUAAUGUAUCAUAGUUACUGUGGAGUCUAAUGUCUGCACAUUUAUGGCUGUAGUAGCAUGAGUCAUAGACAGAAAAAGGGAAAUUGA
Molecule: long non-coding RNA, 1634 nt
Organism: Cyprinus carpio (common carp)
Lineage: Eukaryota; Metazoa; Chordata; Actinopteri; Cypriniformes; Cyprinidae
Exons: 4
Source: RefSeq, a predicted model, not a curated record